AUGUCUGUCUCCUUCCUCAUCGUCCUCCCCGUGCUGGGCCUCCCAUGGGGUGUCCUGUCACAGGUGCAGCUGCAGGAGUCAGGUCCAGGACUGGUGAAGCCCUCACAGACCCUGUCACUCACCUGUGCCAUCUCCGGGGACAGUGUCUCUAGCAACAGUGCUACUUGGAACUGGAUCAGGCAGUCGCCAUCGAGAGGCCUUGAGUGGCUGGGAAGGACAUACUACAGGUCCAAGUGGUAUAAUGAUUAUGCACAAUCUGUGCAAAAUCGAAUAAGCAUCAACCCAGACACAUCCAAGAACCAGUUCUCCCUGCAGCUGAACUCUGUGACCCCCGAGGACAUGGCCGUGUAUUACUGUGCAAGAGACACACCUCUCCUGGGUCGGGGCCUCCCACAAUGUGACUACUUUGACUACUGGGGCCAGGGAGUCCUGGUCACCGUCUCCUCAGGGAGUGCAUCCGCCCCAACCCUUUUCCCCCUCGUCUCCUGUGAGAAUGCCCCGUUGGAUACAAACGAAGUGGCCGUUGGCUGCCUCGCACAGGACUUCCUUCCCGACUCCAUCACUUUCUCCUGGAAAUUCAAGAACAACUCUGACAUCAGCAAAGGCGUCUGGGGCUUCCCAUCAGUCCUGAGAGGGGGCAAGUACGCGGCCACCUCGCAGGUGCUGCUGGCUUCCAAGGACGUCAUGCAGGGCACAGACGAACACGUGGUAUGCAAAGUCCAGCACCCCAAUGGCAACAAAGAACAGAACGUGCCUCUUCCAGUGCUUGCCGAGCGGCCUCCCAACGUGAGUGUCUUCGUCCCACCCCGAGACGGCUUCGUCGGCAACCCCCGCGAGUCCAAGCUCAUCUGCCAGGCCACAGGUUUCAGCCCCCGGCAGAUUGAGGUGUCCUGGCUGCGCGAGGGGAAGCAGGUGGGGUCUGGCAUCACCACGGACCGGGUGGAGGCUGAAGCCAAAGAGUCUGGGCCCACAACCUUCAAGGUGACCAGCACACUGACCGUCAGCGAGAGAGACUGGCUCAGCCAGAGCGUGUUCACCUGCCGCGUGGAUCACAGGGGCCUGACCUUCCAGAAGAACGUGUCCUCCGUGUGUGGCCCCAAUCCAGACACAGCCAUCCGGGUCUUCGCCAUCCCCCCAUCCUUUGCCAGCAUCUUCCUCACCAAGUCCACCAAGUUGACCUGCCUGGUCACAGACCUGGCCACCUACGACAGUGUGACCAUCACCUGGACCCGCCAGAAUGGCGAAGCUCUGAAAACCCACACCAACAUCUCCGAGAGCCACCCCAAUGGCACCUUCAGCGCUGUGGGUGAGGCCAGCAUCUGCGAGGACGACUGGAACUCCGGGGAGAGGUUCAGGUGCACCGUGACCCACACGGACCUGCCCUCGCCGCUGAAGCAGACCAUCUCCAGGCCCAAGGGGGUGGCCAUGCACAGGCCCGAUGUCUACUUGCUGCCACCAGCCCGGGAACAGCUGAACCUGCGGGAGUCGGCCACCAUCACCUGCCUGGUGACGGGCUUCUCUCCCGCGGACAUCUUCGUGCAGUGGAUGCAGAGGGGGCAGCCUUUGUCCCCGGAGAAGUAUGUGACCAGUGCCCCAAUGCCUGAGCCCCAGGCCCCAGGCCGGUACUUCGCCCACAGCAUCCUGACCGUGUCUGAAGAGGACUGGAACACGGGGGAGACCUACACCUGCGUCGUGGCCCAUGAGGCCCUGCCCAACAGGGUCACCGAGAGGACCGUGGACAAGUCCACCGGUAAACCCACCCUGUACAACGUGUCCCUCGUCAUGUCCGACACAGCUGGCACCUGCUACUGACCCUGCUGGCCUGCCCACAGGCUCAGGGCGGCCGGCCGCCCUGUGUGUGUGCACGCAAACUAACCGUGUCAACGGGGUGAGAUGUUGCAUCUUAUAAAAUUAGAAAUAAAAAGAUCCAUUCAAAA
Non-coding RNA from Macaca mulatta (Rhesus monkey), 1937 nucleotides. The record is from the annotation of a RefSeq genome assembly. NCBI's taxonomy places the organism in Eukaryota, Metazoa, Chordata, Mammalia, Primates, Cercopithecidae.